Molecule: ribosomal RNA, 279 nt
Filed under: uncultured bacterium
Lineage: Bacteria
Description: partial 16S ribosomal RNA
Rfam family: Bacterial small subunit ribosomal RNA
Source: RNAcentral
UGCCAGCAGCCGCGGUAAUACAGAGGGUGCAAACGUUGUUCGGAAUCACUGGGCAUAAAGCGCACGUAGGCGGUCAUGUAAGUGUGGAGUGAAAGCCCACGGCUCACCCGUGGAACUGCUUCGCAUACUGCAUGACUCGAGGACGGUAGGGGAGAGCGGAACUCUUGGAGGAGCGGUGAAAUGCGUAGAUAUCUGGAGGAACAUCAGUGGCGAAGGCGACCUCCUGGACUGAUAUUGACGCUGAGGUGCGAAAGCGUGGGGAGCAAACAGGAUUAGAUA